AUAAUAAAUAUAAAUAAAUGGGGAAGUGCCUUUACUCAAGUGGUUAAGUCUAUUUGAUUCCAUAUUUCCCAUCGUAGUUUGACUCCACUAAAUCGCGUUAUCCCGCGUAGUAAAGAUUGACUAUGGAUCGAAUUUUCUCGAUUCAAAGAUGUCAAAAAAACAUAAACAAAUAUAUACUAACAUUUUUAUCAAAUAUUAGAAAAUUCAGUCCUAUGAACUCAUUAUGUUU
RNAcentral lists this small RNA (229 nucleotides) under Arabidopsis thaliana (thale cress). RNAcentral's name for it is "ATSL056990". The record is from RNAcentral. Lineage: Eukaryota; Viridiplantae; Streptophyta; Magnoliopsida; Brassicales; Brassicaceae.